RNAcentral lists this ribosomal RNA (253 nucleotides) under uncultured bacterium. RNAcentral describes it as "partial 16S ribosomal RNA". It matches the Rfam family "Bacterial small subunit ribosomal RNA", at positions 524 to 776 of the family's 1533-position model. The record is from RNAcentral.
UACGGGGGGGGCAAGCGUUGUCCGGAAUCAUUGGGCGUAAAGAGCGUGUAGGCGGUCCGGUAAGUCGGUUGUGAAAGCCCAGGGCUCAACCCUGGGAUGCCGACCGAUACUGUCGGACUAGAGUUCGGAAGAGGCGAGUGGAAUUCCCGGUGUAGCGGUGAAAUGCGCAGAUAUCGGGAGGAACACCUAUGGCGAAGGCAGCUCGCUGGGACGUUACUGACGCUGAGACGCGAAAGCGUGGGGAGCAAACAGG